RNAcentral lists this long non-coding RNA (318 nucleotides) under Brassica napus (rape). RNAcentral describes it as "long non-coding RNA (BNAP_LNC003808)". Lineage: Eukaryota; Viridiplantae; Streptophyta; Magnoliopsida; Brassicales; Brassicaceae. The record is from RNAcentral.
CGCAGUCGACGACUUACCUUGGCCGGCCGUGGAAAGAGUAUUCAAGAACGGUGGUGAUGCAGUCUUUCCUCGACGGGUCGAUUCACCCGUCGGGUUGGUCUCCUUGGUCGGGUGGUUUCGGUCUCAAAACUCUUUUUUACGGGGAGUUUGGUAACUCGGGUCCUGGAUCAUCGGUUUCGGGUCGGGUUAAAUGGGCCGGGUAUCAUUCAUCUUUAACGGUGAAGGAAGCGGAAGGAUUUACUGUGGCUAAUUUCAUUGGCGGGACGAUGUGGUUGCCGUCAACGGGCGUUAGUUUCGACUCUGGCCUUGUGAAGUGAG